Molecule: ribosomal RNA, 429 nt
Filed under: Actinomycetes bacterium
Lineage: Bacteria; Bacillati; Actinomycetota; Actinomycetes
Description: Actinobacteria bacterium partial 16S ribosomal RNA
Rfam family: Bacterial small subunit ribosomal RNA
Source: RNAcentral
UAGGGAAUCUUCCGCAAUGGGCGAAAGCCUGACGGAGCAACGCCGCGUGAGUGAUGAAGGUCUUCGGAUCGUAAAACUCUGUUAUUAGGGAAGAACAAAUGUGUAAGUAACUAUGCACGUCUUGACGGUACCUAAUCAGAAAGCCACGGCUAACUACGUGCCAGCAGCCGCGGUAAUACGUAGGUGGCAAGCGUUGUUCGGAUUUACUGGGCGUAAAGCGCACGUAGGCGGACUUUUAAGUCAGGGGUGAAAUCCCGGGGCUCAACCCCGGAACUGCCUUUGAUACUGGAAGUCUUGAGUAUGGUAGAGGUGAGUGGAAUUCCGAGUGUAGAGGUGAAAUUCGUAGAUAUUCGGAGGAACACCAGUGGCGAAGGCGGCUCACUGGACCAUUACUGACGCUGAGGUGCGAAAGCGUGGGGAGCAAACAGG